RNAcentral lists this transfer RNA (97 nucleotides) under Lachnellula willkommii. RNAcentral's name for it is "tRNA-Val". The record is from RNAcentral. Lineage: Eukaryota; Fungi; Ascomycota; Leotiomycetes; Helotiales; Lachnaceae.
GGUCGGGUGGUGUAGUUGGUUAUCACAUCUCGUUAACAGCUUUCAUAGCUGUAACAACAAACCGAGAAGGUCCUGGGAUCGAGCCCCAGCCUGAUCA